CUUGUUACUGGGUCGCCUGUAGCAAG
Chania multitudinisentens RB-25 is the source of this 26-nucleotide regulatory RNA element. It matches the Rfam family "L25-Gammaproteobacteria ribosomal protein leader". NCBI's taxonomy places the organism in Bacteria, Pseudomonadati, Pseudomonadota, Gammaproteobacteria, Enterobacterales, Yersiniaceae. The record is from Rfam.